RNAcentral lists this transfer RNA (75 nucleotides) under Staphylococcus aureus. RNAcentral describes it as "tRNA-Gly". It matches the Rfam family "tRNA". Rfam says of the family: Transfer RNA (tRNA) molecules are approximately 80 nucleotides in length. Their secondary structure includes four short double-helical elements and three loops (D, anti-codon, and T loops). Lineage: Bacteria; Bacillati; Bacillota; Bacilli; Caryophanales; Staphylococcaceae. RNAcentral also lists the same sequence under 3 other names. The record is from RNAcentral.
GCAGAAGUAGUUCAGUGGUAGAAUACAACCUUGCCAAGGUUGGGGUCGCGGGUUCGAAUCCCGUCUUCUGCUCCA